Vitis riparia (riverbank grape) is the source of this 641-nucleotide long non-coding RNA. RefSeq lists it as uncharacterized. The record is from RefSeq and is a predicted model, not a curated record. NCBI's taxonomy places the organism in Eukaryota, Viridiplantae, Streptophyta, Magnoliopsida, Vitales, Vitaceae. The transcript has 5 exons.
UUUCCCAAAUGUGUUAUCCCUCCGUAGCCAGCCUCUGCCGCCAUUGAUUUGAUCUCUUGAGUCGCAAUUCACUUUCUCCCUUUCUCGAAAAACUCCUCGUUUCUCCCUCUACACCCUUCAUCUUUAGGAGGAUUCACUGCUUCGAUGACAUUCAAAGAACAGCCAGACCUGUGUUUUAGGUGAUAAUUCUCUCAUGAAUAGCAUCUUGUCUGGAAACGCUACGGAUAAGAACAUGUCACCUUCAUCUAGAGGUUUGUUUUUUUGGAAAGUACAAUAGCAUGAGCGGAGUCGGAAGAAGUGAUAUGAAAAGGUCCAUGAUAGAGAAGAAUGUGUACUUACCUAGAAAUUAAUAUGCAUAGUCAAGGAGAAAAAGAAUUCUCAAGAUCGAAUCAAUGAUUUAGCAAAAUAUAAGAUACCUAGUUUUAGAGCAUUGCCCCUAGAGUGAAGUUUGGACCAGGAUGGGUAGGAGAGAACGAUCGGACACCACCAAAGCCACUUUUUGUGCCUUCAUCAACAUUACUCUCAUCUCUCCCUCGAGAUUCUGCUCCUGUUGCUAUACCUUGCAAUAUUUUAGUACAUGCUAUAAGACAUGGAUAUGAAUAUUUCAUAAAUUCAUAAAUUAUAACUUUCAUUAUAAAUAA